This 253-nucleotide ribosomal RNA is filed under the name uncultured bacterium. Its description in RNAcentral is "partial 16S ribosomal RNA". It matches the Rfam family "Bacterial small subunit ribosomal RNA", at positions 524 to 776 of the family's 1533-position model. The record is from RNAcentral.
GACGUAGGGGGCCAGCGUUGUUCGGAAUUACUGGGUGUAAAGGGUUCGUAGGCGGUGCGGCAAGUUGGGAGUGAAAUCUCUGGGCUUAACCCAGAGGCUGCUUCCAAAACUGCUGUGCUUGAGUGUGGGAGAGGCGCGUGGAAUUGCAGGUGUAGCGGUGAAAUGCGUAGAUAUCUGGAGGAACACCGGUGGCGAAGGCGGCAUCCUGGACCGGUAUUGACGCUGAGGCGCGAAAGCUAGGGGAGCAAACGGG